GGAGGGGCUCAGAUUCAUCAGGGCCUCAGCAGGACUAUCAACCUCAGAUCAUGCCCUCAUGCACAGUAGUGCCUGUGUGAAGCUGUGUGUGAGGUAACCAGCCCUGCUGCAGUAGAACUGACCCCAUCUACAACACAGCCAAUGCACGGCCAGAGUGGGCUCCCCAUGUGCAGCUGAUAGCAGGUAGAUCACCCGUGUGGGUGCUCUAGGAGGCCGAGCAGUGUCACAAGCUGCUAACUGUUGUGCUUGGAUCCAGCGUGCUGCAUGGGAAAGUAAGAGUUACAGUGGUGACAUUCAUUGAUGCUUGCUGAACAUUUAUGGAGACCAAAUAGUGGAUGUAAGUAGAGUGAGGCUGGGGGUGGUACGUUUCAGUAAUGGCGACAGUGAUGUGAAAGACAAGCCAUGUUCCGGAUGGCCAUGCACAGCUGUCACACCACAAAAUGAAGAGCAUCUUGAUCAGCUCAUCCGUGCUAAUCAGUGGAUUACAACCAGGGAACUGUGUACAGAACUGAAUAUUGGCUUCAAUGUGUUGGAAAUGAUGAUGGCAACAUUGGAAUAUCACAAAGUUUGCGCCAGUUGGCUCCCAUGAAUGCUCACAGGAACAGAAAGAACAUGUAUGCAAGUUUGUCAAGAUCUAUUGAACCAAUAUGAGCUGAAGGGGACAGUUUCGUGGUUCACAUCAUUACCAGUGACAAGAUGUGGUGUUUCCACUGUGAGCCACAAUCAAAACCACAAUCCAUAGAACAGCAACAUCUGAAUUCCCCAUUGAAGAAAAAAUUCAAGAUGCAGCCCAAAGAGGGUAAAGUGAUGUGAACUAUCUUUUGGGAUAGGAAAGAGGUGAUCCUUCUGGAUUUCCUGGAUCCUGAAUAAACCAUCAGCUCUGAUCAGUA
This is a long non-coding RNA of Gallus gallus (chicken), 890 nucleotides long. RefSeq lists it as uncharacterized. The transcript has 2 exons. Lineage: Eukaryota; Metazoa; Chordata; Aves; Galliformes; Phasianidae. The record is from RefSeq and is a predicted model, not a curated record.